GAUGAACGCUGGCGGCGUGCUUAACACAUGCAAGUCGAACGAAGCACCUCUCCCGAAGAUUGCCACAGCUUGCUGUAGAUUGAUUCAUUUGAGGUGACUGAGUGGCGGACGGGUGAGUAACGCGUGGGUAACCUGCCUCAUAGAGGGGGACAACAGUUGGAAACGACUGCUAAUACCGCAUAGUAAGAAGAAUUCGCAUGUUUUCUUCUUGAAAGAUUUAUCGCUAUGAGAUGGACCCGCGUCUGAUUAGCUAGUUGGUAAGGUAACGGCUUACCAAGGCGACGAUCAGUAGCCGGCUUGAGAGAGUGAACGGCCACAUUGGGACUGAGACACGGCCCAAACUCCUACGGGAGGCAGCAGUGGGGAAUAUUGCACAAUGGGGGAAACCCUGAUGCAGCGACGCCGCGUGAGUGAAGAAGUAUUUCGGUAUGUAAAGCUCUAUCAGCAGGGAAGAUAAUGACGGUACCUGACUAAGAAGCCCCGGCUAACUACGUG
RNAcentral lists this ribosomal RNA (495 nucleotides) under uncultured bacterium. Its description in RNAcentral is "partial 16S ribosomal RNA". It matches the Rfam family "Bacterial small subunit ribosomal RNA", at positions 28 to 507 of the family's 1533-position model. The record is from RNAcentral.